This is a long non-coding RNA of Cercocebus atys (sooty mangabey), 393 nucleotides long. RefSeq lists it as uncharacterized. NCBI's taxonomy places the organism in Eukaryota, Metazoa, Chordata, Mammalia, Primates, Cercopithecidae. The record is from RefSeq and is a predicted model, not a curated record. The transcript has 2 exons.
CCAGCAAUGAGAGCCUGGAAGAGGGCCAGCCUGUUGGUACUAAAGCAGUGCUGGCCCCAACGCAGCUGGCUGGGCCAGACGUUGAUGGGAAAUGGCUGACAGCAGGAUAAACAAGCAGCUCCCUUUUUGGUGAGCUUCAGAGGAAGCAGGUGGACAGAAUCAAGGCUUCAGAAGCCAUAGGAAACUAAUUCAGAUGUAGCAGUGAGCGAUGUGAUGACUGGAGUGGCAGCAGCUAUCUUGAAACCAUGAGGACACAAACCUGAGGAUAAAAUUAAAUUCAAUAUCCUGGAGAAGACAGAGUGGAAAGAUGGAAAGACCUGUUGAAUUAGCCAUGUAUCACUCAACCUUUUGACUUCUUAUCAUGUAAGAUAAUAAAUGUCUUUAUUGUUUAUG